UAGGGAAUCUUCCACAAUGGACGCAAGUCUGAUGGAGCAACGCCGCGUGAGUGAAGAAGGUUUUCGGACCGUAAAGCUCUGUUGUUGGUGAAGAAGGAUAGAGGUAGUAACUGGCCUUUAUUUGACGGUAAUCAACCAGAAAGUCACGGCUAACUACGUGCCAGCAGCCGCGGUAAUACGUAGGUGGCAAGCGUUGUCCGGAUUUAUUGGGCGUAAAGCGAGCGCAGGCGGAAGAAUAAGUCUGAUGUGAAAGCCCUCGGCUUAACCGAGGAAUUGCAUCGGAAACUGUUUUCUUGAGUGCAGAAGAGGAGAGUAGAACUCCAUGUGUAGCGGUGGAAUGCGUAGAUAUAUGGAAGAAUACCAGUGGCGAAGGCGGCUCUCUGGUCUGCAACUGACGCUGAGGCUCGAAAGCAUGGGUAGCGAACAGGAUUAGAUACCCUGGUAGUCCAUGCCGUAAACGAUGAGUGCUAAGUGUUGGGAGGCUUCCGCCUCUCAGUGCUGCAGCUAACGCAUUAAGCACUCCGCCUGGGGGAGUACGACCGCAAAGGUUGAAAC
RNAcentral lists this ribosomal RNA (555 nucleotides) under uncultured bacterium. RNAcentral's name for it is "partial 16S ribosomal RNA". It matches the Rfam family "Bacterial small subunit ribosomal RNA", at positions 355 to 900 of the family's 1533-position model. The record is from RNAcentral.